Molecule: long non-coding RNA, 1022 nt
Organism: Actinia tenebrosa (Australian red waratah sea anemone)
Lineage: Eukaryota; Metazoa; Cnidaria; Anthozoa; Actiniaria; Actiniidae
Source: RefSeq, a predicted model, not a curated record
GUGGGUACCCUGUGUUCUCACGCCAACUUUCAAUCGAUCUUUACUCAGUUCGUACUCUGGGUUAGCAAAGAUGGCAGAGAAAAACAACUCAAAGCCCCCACCAUCCCCACCCCCAGGGUUUAGAAAGGUGAAAAGAGAGUACUGGGAAGGUGUUGAUCCACACAAGAAGAGACCAGCUAUUAACAAGCACACUGGUGUUUUUGCCUAUCAUGCUAAUGACUGUAUGUGCAGCAUGGCUGGUUGGCCAUGUUACAGAAAYGGUGCGAUAUGGAGCUGUUGUGGACAGACAGAAAAGUACUGCAAGUGUACAGGAAAAAAGUGACAGGAUCUAAAGCACUGACUGAUCAAAAAUAUAAAAAUCUUCACAAAAUCCAUAAACCACUGGCCAGCACUAAAUGUUUGGUAUAAGGUUCACCAAUAGAUUCAUAGGAAAACUUUCAUUUAUACUGUGGUUUUGUGUUGGUCCUGGCUAAUUUAUACACUAGCAUCAAAUUUUGGGACACUAUUCACUCAAACACUUUCUUAUUCUUGAUUGCACGUUACAUCAUCAUGGCUUCUCAGGAAAUUGUUGGUGCCAUUAACAUAAGAUUUUUUUUAGCAUCCAUUGUUAAUGGGACCACAAUGGCCGCCAUGGUUUUGUCUUUUAACUCUUUUGGAAAUGCUUGCAAGCCAUCAAUAGUAAAAUUGCAGGAGCAAACAAAACAGUUUUUUAAUGCAGAAAUACAUGUAAUUUUUUUGAUGUUUUUUCUUCAAUAUUUCUUCAAUGGCCUAGUUCAGGAGCACUUUUCUAAAUUUGCAAAACAAUUUUAUUAAUAAAAGAUACGGCUUUUUCUGAAUAAAUAAAGGAGUAAACUAUGAAUUCUCAUAGACACUCUUUAGUCAGCAAGGAUCAAGUUAGUUAUACCUUGAUUACCACUGUUUUCAUUGCUAUGUGCUGAUUGAGACAAAAGUUGCACUGUGAAUAAGUAACAAUAAUUGAUAGAUGAGCUUCAAUCAAAUAAAUCUAUUGCCCAUUGACCCGU